Molecule: long non-coding RNA, 203 nt
Organism: Jaculus jaculus (lesser Egyptian jerboa)
Lineage: Eukaryota; Metazoa; Chordata; Mammalia; Rodentia; Dipodidae
Exons: 3
Source: RefSeq, a predicted model, not a curated record
GUUCCACUGCAGGCUCCUAAUGGGAUGACUUGAAGGGAAAGUCAUUGUCCUGACAGCCGCUGCCCAGGGGAUCGGCCGGGCUUCUGCCCUAGCUUUUGCAAGAGAAGGUGCUAAGGUCAUAGCCACGGAUAUCAAUGAGUAUAAACUUCAAGACCUGGAAGAGUACCCAGGUAUUCAAACAUGAGUCCUUGAUGUCACAAAGA